UUCCAGUUUCACCGGGACAGGUGGGCGA
This 28-nucleotide small RNA is filed under the name Bombyx mori (domestic silkworm). RNAcentral describes it as "ovarian small RNA-37141". The record is from RNAcentral. Lineage: Eukaryota; Metazoa; Arthropoda; Insecta; Lepidoptera; Bombycidae.